ACAAUGAAGGUCUGUGGUUGAAAGUCCAUGCCAGUCGCAGGCAAAGGGACCCACGUAAGAUAGUAAAAAAGUUACUAGCGAUCAUGGUGCGGCUUAGAUGUUAGACCUGCCGGUGAUUUCACCGAGAGAAGUAGUAGUGAAGGUAACCCCUGGGCGAACCUUCCAGCAGGCGGGUGUGGGGGCAAAGACCAGGUCAGCUUCUUUUGU
The sequence is a regulatory RNA element, 207 nucleotides long. It matches the Rfam family "raiA RNA". The record is from Rfam.